This is a long non-coding RNA of Coffea arabica (coffee), 1244 nucleotides long. RefSeq lists it as uncharacterized. NCBI's taxonomy places the organism in Eukaryota, Viridiplantae, Streptophyta, Magnoliopsida, Gentianales, Rubiaceae. The record is from RefSeq and is a predicted model, not a curated record.
UAGGGUUAGACACACAAAAUACUUCUUUCCUGACUUUCCUUUCCAAAGCCUCGCCGCCGCCGCUUUUCUUUCCUGCCUUUCCUUUCCAAGAUUAUAAUGCCAAAAUCUUCAGUACGUUUAAGCCUCCUCGCUCUUUGCUUAUUUUCUUGUAAGUUUGUAGUUUCCUUACUCUUAGUUUCAAUGCCAAAGGGGAAGAGAAUAAAAAAUUGAAUGAAAAGAAGGAGAUGGAGAUUUCAGAACCUGGUGCUAGAUCCUCCAAAGCGUGUGGCCAGCAUCAUUUCUAGCUCAAGGCUUGGGACUUUUCUUUGUUUUUCCCAAAUUUAUUCUCCUUCGUUAUAUAUAUUUUUUCUCAGAAAGCUCCUUCAUUCUCCGUUCAAAUCAGAUUAUUUUUUUAUAUUAUUGUUCCUUAUUUUUCUUACCCUUUUCAAAUCAGGUGGCUUUUUUGAUGUGGUUGCUCUUCAUCUUUUAAAAAAAAAAUCUACAAGAAACUGUUUAUCCUCCGUCAGUUCAGCCUUUGAAUAUGAUGGCGAGGCUUCUUCGAAAUGCUUCUUCUCUCGGAUGCCUCUAUUUUUGCAACCUCUCUCUCCGACUUUAUAGGAAAGUCUUGUUAGGGGCAUACACUCAACUCUCCUACUUUUCCUCCAAAAGGUAGAAGAAAAUCCAAGUCAAACGUCAAAGAAAGAUUUGGUGCUCAAGUACUAUCAGAUCACUGCAUCAUUUGGAAAAGGUUCUAUCAUGUGGCUUGGCCGCUCUGCCCCUGUCAAACAAGUUCCAGUUGUGUCCACAGCUUCAUUUGCUUUGGAUAUUGCAUUUGGGAUUGGAGGACUUCCAAAGAAACUUAAUGCGACAAUCCUGACAAGUGAUUUUACUAAAUUGGAUUUUGAAUCCUACAAUGGGCCUUCCAGAGGAUAUAAUCAAUUGGGGAGCAUUGGAUACAGCACUGAGUAGUUCUUUUUGAAGUUAAGAAAGCAGCAGUUUCACGUAAGCAAGAAUUGGCUUAGAUAGCAUACACUCAUCUUGAGGUUGUCACGGGAGAGCUUAGCAAAUCUUGCCAUGGGGACAGCAGAAACAAAAUUGCUUUUGGAUAGGGGAAAGAUGCAUUGUGCGUUUCAAGCUCUAUGCCAAUGUAAUUAGUUUAUCAUGAAAUUGUUAUAGGUUUUUUUUUGGUUAAUCUGUAACUAAAUUCCAUCAGACACAAACAAUUCCAUUAAAUGGAUCCACUUUGAAUAUGUACAAAUCAUUUU